RNAcentral lists this ribosomal RNA (463 nucleotides) under Pichia membranifaciens. RNAcentral's name for it is "partial large subunit ribosomal RNA". It matches the Rfam family "Eukaryotic large subunit ribosomal RNA", at positions 126 to 600 of the family's 3401-position model. The record is from RNAcentral. Lineage: Eukaryota; Fungi; Ascomycota; Pichiomycetes; Pichiales; Pichiaceae.
UAAUUUUUUUGGCACGAGUUGUAGAGUGUAGGCGGGAGUCUUUGUGGAGCACGGUGUCCAAGUCCCUUGGAACAGGGCGCCUGAGAGGGUGAGAGCCCCGUGGGGUGCCGUGCGAAGCUUUGAGGCCCUGCUGACGAGUCGAGUUGUUUGGGAAUGCAGCUCCAAGUGGGUGGUAAAUUCCAUCUAAGGCUAAAUACUGGCGAGAGACCGAUAGCGAACAAGUACUGUGAAGGAAAGAUGAAAAGCACUUUGAAAAGAGAGUGAAACAGCACGUGAAAUUGUUGAAAGGGAAGGGUAUUGGGCCCGACAUGGGGAGUGCGCACCGCUGUCUCUUGUAGGCGGCGCUCUGGGCGCUCUCUGGGCCAGCAUCGGUUCUUGCUGCGGGAGAAUGGGUGCCGGAAAGUGGCUCUUCGGAGUGUUAUAGCCGGCGCCAGAUACCGCGUGCGGGGACCGAGGACUGCGG